GUAUACAUAAGGGUAGUAAUAUUUCUAACUUAUAAAAAUACAACACAGGUUUGACACUAAGAAUGUAAAUGAAUGGAUAUGUUGGAUAUACCACCUCAGUAAGACAGCAACCCAAAUGACACCAAACACAACAUGACAUUCAGAACGAAAGAAGUAUAGUUAUAUCUUUCAUGGGAAACAUUGACUGUUCAUUAGGUUACACAAACAUCAGACUCCAUCUUAGAAUUUUUAUUUUAGAAUGAAAAAAUAAUAAAUAGAAAAAAAUAUGAUCAUAAGAUAUUAAUUCAAACAUUGUAUUUAACUUAGAAAAAUGUGAAAUGGAAUCGACACCAGUAUUUGGGGAUGAGGCGUUUUGUAUGAUAUGUCCAUUUUGCCGUCAUGAGAUUAUAACAGCCAUAUCUUACAAUGCUGGAACUUUGUGCUGGUUUUUAUGUGGGCUAAUGAUAUUUUUGGGGUAAGUAUAUUUUUUUUAUGUCUUAGUGCUGCUGCGGACGGAUAUGUUAAAAAUAGCAAUAAGAACAAAAAAAAUCACUUGUAAAAAGAAAUCGAUCCCUUUGUCUAUGCUGACCUUCUUUCGAAUAUAUAGAAAUACGGAAGAAGGUAUCAAUAGUAGAACAUAUUUUACUAGCAUAGGCGGUACAGAGGGGACCCCCCCUUUCGUGAGAAAAAUUUGGUUGAUUAUAUAGGGAAUCACUGAAGCAUGACCUGAGCGGCCCCCUAAGGUCAGUCAGCGGGCCACCCCUAAUGAAAAGUUCUGGAUCCGCCACUGACUAGUCACGAAAUUUCAUGCUUAUUGGGAUACCUUGUCUGAAUUGGCUUUUUGCAUAACUAUCUAGUACAAAUUGAAACAUAGUAAUCUGUCAUGUAAAAUAACCCGUUUGUUGUUAUCACUAUGAAACCCCAACCAUAACACAGGGCAGUGGUAUAACAGUACAAUCUAAGAACAAAAUAUUGAAACCAGUUGAAAAUUGCUUAAAUCAGCAGAUUAAAAAGUCAGAUAUUGAAACCAACGAAAAACGUAUAUAACAGAGUAAAAGAUGGUCUAAAAGCAUUUUAAUUAAAAACAACUCGAAAAGGACUUAAUCGUUUACUCAAACACAGUACAGUUGUCCUUAAAACAUAUUUCAAUAUAAUUAUUGGCUGUUCCUUUGUUACACAAUCAUGGUGAGGUUGUACUGAUUAUGAGUAUAUAUAUACGAAAUAUUCAAUCGAAAAUGUGAUGUAUAAUGCACCAAAGCAUACGGAAGAACUAAUAUAUUCUAAAAAUAUCAAUUAUUUUGAACAAUAGUGUACAUCACAUUUUGGAUGUUAUUUCUUCAUUGUCAGAAUAGACAGACUACUAGUAUAUAUGUUUAACAAAACAACAGACGCCUUUUUCUAGAAGAAUACCCUUAUGAUUGUUAUUAAUUAAUUGAUUUAUUGUUUCAGAUCUCCAUCAUAAAUGAGUAUAACACUUUUAUCUUAUAUCUCUAAUUGAUACCAGAAAUUAUGGAGAUCUGAAACAAUAAAUCGAUUAAGCAAUAACAAUCGUAAGGAUAUUUUUGUAUUUUCUUUCAAUGCAAUUAUAUACUAGAGGGAUUUAGUAACUUAUAAAUCUUUCAUUGUAUAAACAGAAGCUAAUACUAUGAUCUUUUUUUCAGUUUGUGGUUAGGUUGCUGUUUGGUACCAUUCUAUGUGAACGCUGUUAAAGAUUGUGUCCAUUCUUGUCCAAAUUGUUGGCAAAUCCUUGGUCGGUUCAAUCGACUCUAACCUUAUCGAUACAGAACUUCGAGUUUCGACAGAUCCUUCAAAAAUGACAAUGAUCGACCGAAGACAGAAUCAUGUGUUAGUUUACUCUAACAUCUUAAGCUGAACCCUUUGUGCAUGGUAAAGGGCACGAUAAGGACUGAAAAUUUGUUUUUGAUAAUUUUUCGAACAUGCAUAAUUAUUCAAAUAACGCAGUGGUAAACCAGGUCCUUGCGCUGUUUUUGAGGAUUUGUACAGAUUAACAAAAAAAAAUGAAUACAGAUCAAGAUCACUGAAAAUGGACAAGAACAAAAUUAAAGAAUCAUUAUAGAGAAAAUAAGGCCAUACAACUCAAGAAUAGAAACAAAACAAUGCUAUCUAGAUAGUGAAAAUAGAGAAAUACGACAUAAGUUUUUUUUUUACAUAAUUGAAGAUUUCCCAUUCUAGGCACUCGUUUAUGUUGAAAACGUAGCCAACAUAUUCUCGUUUUAUAAUAUGUCGAUGACAGAAAAUCUAAGGGUAAAACUUGUGUACACGUAGUAUACAUACAAUGGGUAGUACAAGUUUCAGAUUAUUUUGUUAGUUCAACAAGUGUGGACACAGAUGAGUGUGGAUAGUAUGUUUGGAUGUUUGACAGUGUUUUAGGAUAAAUGUAGUUCUAUGAUUUUCCUAUAUGUGUUAUUAACUGUGUUGCACGAUGACAACCAACCGGAGCAUUAGGAGUAUUGUUUAUUUUAUAUUUAGUUUAGUUUUUAUGUUCAAGACAGGCAUGGAAGAGACACUUAUUGCAUUAGUUACCAAAUGAUUAUGAUAGAAUAUGUUCCACAUCUUUGAUUUUGGAUACAUUUUAUAGCUAGGAGAGCAAC
Molecule: long non-coding RNA, 2591 nt
Filed under: Mytilus galloprovincialis (Mediterranean mussel)
Lineage: Eukaryota; Metazoa; Mollusca; Bivalvia; Mytilida; Mytilidae
Source: RNAcentral